AGAACGAACGCUGGCGGCAUGCCUAACACAUGCAAGUCGAACGCUUCCGGGGCUUCGGUCGCGGAGGAGUGGCGCACGGGUGAGUAACACGUGACUAACCUACCCUUGAGUGGGGGAUAACUGAGGGAAACCUUAGCUAAUACCGCAUAAUACCCACGGGUCAAAGGAGCAAUUCGCUCGAGGAGGGGUCGCGGCCGAUUAGUUAGUUGGCAGGGUAAUGGCCUACCAAGACGAUGAUCGGUAUCCGGCCUGAGAGGGCGCACGGACACACUGGAACUGAAACACGGUCCAGACUCCUACGGGAGGCAGCAGUGGGGAAUUUUGCGCAAUGGGGGAAACCCUGACGCAGCAACGCCGCGUGGAGGAUGAAGUCCUUCGGGACGUAAACUCCUUUCGAUCGGGACGAUUAUGACGGUACCGGAAGAAGAAGCCCCGGCUAACUUCGCGCCAGCAGCCGC
This 458-nucleotide ribosomal RNA is filed under the name uncultured bacterium. RNAcentral's name for it is "SSU rRNA". It matches the Rfam family "Bacterial small subunit ribosomal RNA", at positions 26 to 518 of the family's 1533-position model. The record is from RNAcentral.